CGCUGGCGGCGUGGAUUAGGCAUGCAAGUCGAACGAAUCCCAUCUGGGUAACUGGGUGGGGGAAGUGGCGAAAGGGGCAGUAAGGCAUGGGUAACCUACCCCGGGGACGGGGAUAGCCAUUCUAACGAGUGGGUAAUACCUGGCGAUCUGGCGAGGAGACAUCUCUUUGCCAGGAAAUGAAUUUCGCCUCGGGAGGGGCCCAUGUGGUAUUAGCUUGUUGGUGAGGUAACGGCUCACCAAGGCCAAGAUGCCUAGCAGGUGUGAGAGCACGACCUGCGCCACUGGCUCUGUGACACUGGCCAGACUCCUACGGGAGGCUGCAGUCGAGGAUCUUCGGCAAUGGGCGCAAGCCUGACCGAGCGACGCCGCGUGUGCGAUGAAGGCCUUCGGGUUGUAAAGCACUGUCGAGGGGGAGGAAAGCCCGCAAGGGUCUGACCUAUCCCUGGAGGAAGCACGGGCU
RNAcentral lists this ribosomal RNA (460 nucleotides) under uncultured bacterium. RNAcentral describes it as "bacterial SSU rRNA". It matches the Rfam family "Bacterial small subunit ribosomal RNA", at positions 34 to 498 of the family's 1533-position model. The record is from RNAcentral.